Molecule: transfer RNA, 55 nt
Filed under: Ceraphron sp. MM-2014
Lineage: Eukaryota; Metazoa; Arthropoda; Insecta; Hymenoptera; Ceraphronidae
Description: tRNA-Ser
Source: RNAcentral
GUUAAUAAAAAUUAUGUCUUGAAAACAUAUUUAAGAAUUAUAAAUUCUAUUAACU